This is a non-coding RNA of Crinalium epipsammum PCC 9333, 37 nucleotides long. The record is from Rfam. NCBI's taxonomy places the organism in Bacteria, Bacillati, Cyanobacteriota, Cyanophyceae, Gomontiellales, Gomontiellaceae.
GUUUAAAUGCACCUAAAUCCCUUUUAGGGAUUGAAAC